CAGUCGCCGCGGUAAUACGAAGGGUGCAAGCGUUACUCGGAAUUACUGGGCGUAAAGCGUGCGUAGGUGGUGGUUUAAGUCCGUUGUGAAAGCCCUGGGCUCAACCUGGGAAUUGCAGUGGAUACUGGGUCACUAGAGUGUGGUAGAGGAUAGUGGAAUUUCCGGUGUAGCAGUGAAAUGCGUAGAGAUCGGAAGGAACAUCUGUGGCGAAGGCGACUAUCUGGGCCAACACUGACACUGAGGCACGAAAGCGUGGGGGGCAAACAGGAUUAGAUACCCCGGUAGUCCCUGUCUCUUAUAC
Molecule: ribosomal RNA, 301 nt
Filed under: uncultured bacterium
Lineage: Bacteria
Description: partial 16S ribosomal RNA
Rfam family: Bacterial small subunit ribosomal RNA
Source: RNAcentral